UGCUGCUUACUCAGACAGCACAUAUGAACAAUUUGAAUGAUACAGAGAAGAUUAGUAUGGCUCCUACGAAAGGAUGACACGCAAAUUCGUGAAUCAGGCUCCUUAGAU
This is a small nuclear RNA of Sander lucioperca (pikeperch), 108 nucleotides long. NCBI's taxonomy places the organism in Eukaryota, Metazoa, Chordata, Actinopteri, Perciformes, Percidae. The record is from Ensembl.